GUGAGACCCCCCUGGGACAGGUGAGACCCCCCUGGGACAGGUGUGACACCUGCACAGGUGUGAUUGACCCCCUGGGGCAGGGACAGGGCUGGGGGACAGG
Myiozetetes cayanensis is the source of this 100-nucleotide long non-coding RNA. RefSeq lists it as uncharacterized. The record is from RefSeq and is a predicted model, not a curated record. The transcript is spliced from 3 exons. Lineage: Eukaryota; Metazoa; Chordata; Aves; Passeriformes; Tyrannidae.